This 524-nucleotide ribosomal RNA is filed under the name uncultured delta proteobacterium. Its description in RNAcentral is "bacterial SSU rRNA". It matches the Rfam family "Bacterial small subunit ribosomal RNA", at positions 381 to 899 of the family's 1533-position model. The record is from RNAcentral. Lineage: Bacteria; Deltaproteobacteria.
AGCUGAUCAGCAUGCCGCGUGAGUGAUGAAGGCCUUCGGGUUGUAAAGCUCUUUUGUCAGAGACGAUUAUGACGGGGCUAACAUCCUAGGCCAUGGCUGUCUCCCCGUCACCAGCCCCGGUUAUAUCAGUGGCGCUAGCCUUGGUCAGACAUACUGUGCGUACAGUGUUCGUAAUUACUGGGCCUAAACCGUGGGGAAGCCGCCAUGCUCAUCCGAUGUGAAACCCCCGAGCCUAACCCCCUAAAUUCCUUCAAUACUGGGUGGAUUUCCUAUCGUAGAGGUUGGAUGAAUUCACAUUGUAAAGAUCAAAUUCGGAGAAAUCGACAAGAACACCCGUUGCUAACGCUGACCCCCGGACGCAUGCUGACCCUAAAAGAUUAAAUCCCCUGGAACUCAACGGCUUAAACAACCUGGGCGUCCCCUCCGUAAACUAUCGGUGCUAGGUGUCACGUGAAUUGACUCCCAUGCCGCCUUAGCCAACCCGUUACGCAACCCACCUGGGAAGUACUUCCCCAGGGCUAAAA